RNAcentral lists this long non-coding RNA (2097 nucleotides) under Brassica rapa (field mustard). RNAcentral describes it as "long non-coding RNA (BRAP_LNC003069)". The record is from RNAcentral. Lineage: Eukaryota; Viridiplantae; Streptophyta; Magnoliopsida; Brassicales; Brassicaceae.
CAAGGCAAGUGAUGUAGAAAAGAAAAAGAAAAUUGCAAGCUAGCUUGUGAUCUCACAUGUAAACCUAACGCUGAAGAAAAUACUCAAGGUCUGUCUGUAGCUUUCAAAAAUCUGUCCUUAACACGCAACCAGGUUUCAGCUCUUACCUUCCUCGUUUCAUUGCAUUAUGGUAAAAUAAAGGCCUUCCUCGUUUCAUUGCACAAAGAAAAUUAAGAACAAUAGAUAGCCCUAGUUUUCUCCCAGGCACGAACAUCGAGGCAGCUAUAGCAAAUCCGUUUUCUGGCGCCGGUGGAGCUGGAGCUCGCCGGCGUCGGGAUAAACUUGUUUCUUGUUGUCUCUUGUUCGCUUACCUGCUUUUCUCUGACUUCGUUCUUCUUCUUUUUCCCUUUUUUAACUUUCUGAAACUUGGAUUUUCAAGAUCUAGUCUACAUAUUUCCCUGAGUCCACGGCGACGACAGAAGAAGAGAAACCACAUGAAUCAAACCCUCUCGAUGUCGCUAUCUCUCUGGUGGGUUGUACUUUCAGCUUCAAAUAUGGAAUACUCACCAGUCAAUGCUGCUUACCGCAUCUCGGGUUCAAGCCCCGAAGACCUUCUUACCGGAGCGGCGCUGUCAAACUCGGCAGUGGUGGAAGUGGUUUCUUCACGGAGAAGCUCCCUCUCACCAAUCAACCUUUUUGCUCCGGGGAAAGCUGAAGAAGACGACCCCUUCACCCCAACCUGGCGCGUGCUAUCUACAGGCGAGGAAAACUUCAGAUCUGGACUGGAUCUAGUAACCAAGGCUGCGCAUACCUCCGACCUGUCUGAAUUAAGCCAAUCUCGGGACUGGCCCGAUGAACCGUUAAUCUUCUUGUGGUGGUUCUCGCCGGUGACACCGAGAGCUCCGGCUACAACUCGUCAUCUCCACAAAUCUGGUAUGGGCUUCUCAACACUAAAGUUGUUUGAUAAGCUUACUAAGGCCUUAUCUCCUUUCUUGGGCCUCAAGCCCAUAGACUUUUAUUGCUAUUCACCUUGUAUACGGAAGCAUCCUGCAAAAAUUAGAAACACAUUGGUCAAGAUAAAGUUCACGUAUAUGAUGUCUGAUAAACAAGGAAAAUUUAAAUGGUCUUCACCAACUCCACAACUCUGUUUUGGCUGUACCAUCUGUGACAACGUCUCGUGUAUAUCAGUAGCCACCAAGAGCAUGGAAGAGGCCACAAAAUCAGUCUAGAAUCUCACAGAGAUUCUGCUUAAGCUCAUCAAUUUCAGUCCUUUAGAUUUCUCUUUUGUGGAGAAGUCUAGUCAAACCUCCUCCUGCCAGGGCCAGGAGAGAUCAUUUUUCCAUUCCUCCUCCUUUGUGGUGCGAGCUCUACCGCCAAUUUCCCUCUCGCAAGGAGGUGAUACUUCUCUGGUUUCAAACCAGAGACCUGUUAGUGCCAUACUCUGUUUGUUUUCUUGUGUAGCGACUUGUACGGGGUCUGAAGAAACAACGGAAUUCGUUUCGACGAAAACCGAAGAUAUGAGCCAGUUAUCAAAGGCAAGACAUAUAAGACAUAUGUUGCCGUCUCUCCUGCUCUUCGUCACGUUCGAAGUUGCUUCUUCAACGCAUCCGUAUUUUUUCUUAGAUUUGCCGGAUUCGCAGUUGUCUUAUCCAAAUUCCUAUCUUGUUUCAAGCUUUUUAAUGUUUAACUUUGCUUGUAUUAUUGAACUCUACCUUUCUGGUAUCGAGCUUUAAAUUAAUGGAAGAUUUGUGCACAAAAAAAAAAAAAGGCCUUUACUGUUGAUCAACAUAUAAGUGGCCCAGGCCCAAAAUAGCAGCAAUAAGUAAUUGACCAUGCAUAAUAAACAAAACGAGAUUAGCUUUUCAAUUCGGUUCUUACAAAAUCCGAAACUUAAAAAAAAAACAAGAAUAUAAUCAGAAAUAAUCGAAUCUUUUUCUCUCUCAUGCGAUUUUGCUCUCAGGCACUUUAUCCAAAGAAAGUCCUUACCCGCCGGUUUAACUCUGCUAUCUCUGUGAUUCCCGGAAUUUUACACCUUUCAGGCUAUUAUCCACUGCUUUUCCCUGCAACUUUUCAAAAGUCUUCCUACUUUUAGAAUACCCAGCGGAUUUUAGACAUCAC